Molecule: long non-coding RNA, 654 nt
Organism: Malania oleifera
Lineage: Eukaryota; Viridiplantae; Streptophyta; Magnoliopsida; Santalales; Ximeniaceae
Exons: 2
Source: RefSeq, a predicted model, not a curated record
CUGUGCAUAUACAGUAGCAAUUUUAUCUUACAGUAGUUAAAAAAAAAAAUUGUUGUAUCGCUAAAUCUUAAUUAUAAUAAUACUACUAUUCAAAUUAGUGAAGUUCAACUUUACUGGUAACUUUCAGUUCUUCCCUCCCUGUUGGCUGCUCUUGGCGGAUCAACCAUGCACACGCAGCUGUAUGAACCCUCCAAGGGAAUUGGGAAGAGCGAGAGAGAGAGAGAGAGAGAGAGAGAGCACGUGAAGCUGCUGCAAGGAAGGAAAGAAAGAUGGAAGUGAAUUGAAACAGUGACAGGGUAGGUUAAGGUAGGGUUAAUUGAUGAUCUGAGAUGCAUUGGUGUUAAUGAAGAACAGAGAAGAUGGGGAAGAGACGAAGAGUCACGAGUGCUCCUCCAUCAUGGUGGACUCUGGUAAAUUUCAGAUUGCUAGCCUGCCAUCGACCCAACUCCACCCCCCAUGCUGCUCCUGCCCACCCCAUUCGUAAAUAGCUUGCACACACGCAGUCAAAAAAUAAAAAUAAAAAUGAAGGUUGAUCUCAAACUCGACCACCUAUGCUUGGAAGGGGUCUGUGUAAUCAGAGAAGUUAAUUGUGUUGAUUUCGAUUUUUACUAUUAUUUUCAAAAUUAAUUAAUGAACUCAAGUAUUAAAUUUAGG